AAGUCGUAACAAGGUUUCCGUAGGUGAACCUGCGGAAGGAUCAUUAACACGUAUCCAAACGUUAAACCCCCCUGUGAACCUUCAGUCGUACUCGUACGUCCGUUAGAAAAAGCAGCAAUCCCUGGUAAAUCAUCGCCGAACAGUUUUCGAUUCAGGGACGUCUGCAAGGAGCGUGCAUGUUGUGCGUGUAAGUGGCCUGGCAUCCCCAAGCAGUUAGUGUCUGAAAGUGUCACUAACGUUAGUGUCUGUCACUAACAUGUGUAAGGAUGACGCAGUCACGAUCGUUGGAGGCCCACACGGCCGACGACCGGGUCACUGGGUGCAAGCCCCCUUAUCACACCCCUGCUCUAUCUAUGGUGAUCCUGCGCCGAAACCGAACAACUGUUAACAAUGGAUAUCUUGGUUCUC
RNAcentral lists this unclassified non-coding RNA (408 nucleotides) under fungal sp. RNAcentral's name for it is "partial internal transcribed spacer region". The stretch from base 1 to 46 matches the Rfam family "Eukaryotic small subunit ribosomal RNA", at positions 1786 to 1831 of the family's 1831-position model. The record is from RNAcentral. Lineage: Eukaryota; Fungi.